This 731-nucleotide ribosomal RNA is filed under the name uncultured Fusobacterium sp. Its description in RNAcentral is "bacterial SSU rRNA". It matches the Rfam family "Bacterial small subunit ribosomal RNA", at positions 28 to 776 of the family's 1533-position model. Lineage: Bacteria; Fusobacteriati; Fusobacteriota; Fusobacteriia; Fusobacteriales; Fusobacteriaceae. The record is from RNAcentral.
GAUGACGCAGACAGAAUGCUUAACACAUGCAAGUCAACUUGAAUAGGGUUUUUCACUUAGUUGGGUGGCGGACGGGUGAGUAACGCGUAAAGAACUUGCCUCACAGCUAGGGACAACAUUUGGAAACGAAUGCUAAUACCUAAUAUUAUGAUAAUAGGGCAUCCUAUAAUUAUGAAAGCUAUAAGCGCUGUGAGAGAGCUUUGCGUCCCAUCAGCUAGUUGGAGAGGUAACUGCUCACCAAGGCGAUGAUGGGUAGCCGGCCUGAGAGGGUGAUCGGCCACAAGGGGACUGAGACACGGCCCUUACUCCUACGGGAGGCAGCAGUGGGGAAUAUUGGACAAUGGACCAAGAGUCUGAUCCAGCAAUUCUGUGUGCACGAUGAAGUUUUUCGGAAUGUAAAGUGCUUUCAGUUGGGAAGAAAGAAAUGACGGUACCAACAGAAGAAGUGACGGCUAAAUACGUGCCAGCAGCCGCGGUAAUACGUAUGUCACGAGCGUUAUCCGGAUUUAUUGGGCGUAAAGCGCGUCUAGGUGGUUAUAUAAGUCUGAUGUGAAAAUGCAGGGCUCAACUCUGUAUUGCGUUGGAAACUGUAUAACUAGAGUACUGGAGAGGUAAGCGGAACUACAAGUGUAGAGGUGAAAUUCGUAGAUAUUUGUAGGAAUGCCGAUGGGGAAGCCAGCUUACUGGACAGAUACUGACGCUGAAGCGCGAAAGCGUGGGUAGCAAACAGG